GUUUAUCAAAAACAUAGCUAGAAGCAAAUAAUUUCUAGUAUCUUCUGCUCAAUGUACUUAUAAAUUGCCGCAGUAUAUAAACUGUGCUAAGGUAGCAUAAUCACUUGUCUAUUAAUUGCAGACUAGAAUGAAUGAAUAAAUGAGAUUUAUACUGUUUCUUAAAAUAAUUUAAAAUUUUAUAUAAAAGUGAAGAAGCUUUUAUAAUCUCGUAAGACAAGAAGACCCUGUAGAACUUAAAUUAUCUAAAAUACAUAAAUCUUACUAAACUUUGACUGGGGUGGCCUAGAUAUAUAAAACUAUCUUCUAAUACAAGAUUAAUAAAUCAUGCCUUGAUCCAUAUCAGCGACCAUUAAUUAAAGCUACCUCAGGGAUAACAGACAUAUUUUCUUUAAAAGUUCUAAUUAAAAAGAAAGAUUUGCACCUCGAUGUUGGCUUAUAAACUUACUUAGUGCAAAAGCUAAGAUAAAAGAUUUGUUCAAUCUUUAUAAAAUUACGUGAUCUGAGUUC
This 507-nucleotide ribosomal RNA is filed under the name Inanidrilus leukodermatus. Its description in RNAcentral is "partial 16S ribosomal RNA". It matches the Rfam family "Bacterial large subunit ribosomal RNA", at positions 1802 to 2612 of the family's 2925-position model. The record is from RNAcentral. Lineage: Eukaryota; Metazoa; Annelida; Clitellata; Tubificida; Naididae.